This is a long non-coding RNA of Carassius carassius (crucian carp), 633 nucleotides long. RefSeq lists it as uncharacterized. The record is from RefSeq and is a predicted model, not a curated record. Lineage: Eukaryota; Metazoa; Chordata; Actinopteri; Cypriniformes; Cyprinidae. The transcript has 3 exons.
AUGUGCAAAAAUUGAGGUAAAAAUAUACAAAAAAUGACUUACACGCAUCAAAAGUAUGAGAAGAAAUAAGGGCGAUGAUGUCAUUAAAAAAAUUUCAAGUUAUAGUGCUGCAGAGAUAUCAACCUUAAUUAGCAGUAGCAUUACUAGCCCCGGCCCGACAGGUGUCGUAAUACCAGUUUCGGCCAUGGGAGGCGGUAUGCGGGCAACAUAACCACAAGCCAACCUGCAAUACACUAAUAACUCGCACGGCUUGUGGGCGUACCUGAACCUGAUGUCAAUCAUGUGGAAAGUACAGCCCACUACUUCAUUUCACCCUUGGCAAGAGACCACCACCCGCUACAGGGAAACAACCGCGCUCGGAAUCACAAAUCAAAUCCGAUAAGAAAAGGAGCCGAACCAGAGUAAACAUCGGCACUGCUUUCAAUCGCUGGAGACAACUGAUGGACCUGAAAGAAAUGAGGUUCGACACCGAACUUGCAACAUUUCUUUUGGAUUGAUGCUGCAACAAGGUGGAGCUCAAAUUUUACAUUUUACACUCCGAAAUUGAUGCAGCAAUGGCAGAACACCUAAAGUAUUCUCCAGGAAGAGCUGGUGAGUGGUGGAUACAAGAAAUGAGUCAAAAAACUUUCACGC